GUAAGCUUAUGUUCAUAUUUUGGA
Molecule: microRNA, 24 nt
Filed under: Ananas comosus (pineapple)
Lineage: Eukaryota; Viridiplantae; Streptophyta; Magnoliopsida; Poales; Bromeliaceae
Description: microRNA s0949_c122a
Source: RNAcentral